CACUGCAGAGGCAACAAGCUCCACCUGGGCCCACUCAUCUCCUUACCACUCUCAGCUGCAGGAGAGCAAUGUUGUAAACCAUGAUUUCUGUCUCAACUAGAUUAGCUGGUAAGAACUUGGGGUAAUCCUGGAAGAAGCUGUACCUUAAGGACUGGAAAGCACAGGCACCAGGAAAAGUUCAGUUUCAAAGAGCAGAAGAGCCUGUAUCCAUUGUUUUGUAAUCAAGUAACGCAAUGCCUGGAUGGAAGGAUAUGGUGAUCUGCCACCAGCAAAAGAUGAAGACCACCUGACUUUCUCUGCUACUUCCAGAAUCUGACCCAAGUGUUGUCCUUCCCUUGGAGUACAACAGGAGAAGCAACAGGCUGAUUCUGCUAGUGAAAACAACGUGUUGCACUGGAUAUAUAUAUUGUGAAAGGCUGAAAAUCAGUACUCAAAUAUUGAAGAUAUUCUGAGUGCUGUAUUACAUACUUCAAGAUUAAACAGCAGAAAAAGGAUCAAAGCAAUGCCGAAUUCCUAUUCUUUGCAAGUGUAGACAGUGGUGUAUGGGAAGCACACUCCAAGCCUCUGAGAAGCAAGAUGUGUUUCAGACUAUCCUGAAGCUACAGGAACAGUUGACAAAAAAAAAUUUUCAGUUAUUCUGACUCUAUCAAAGUCCAAGGCUUCAGAAGGAAAUGACGAGGAUCUCUGCUCUGUUUGAGAUGGGAAUAAGGGAAUAAACAUAUUGUUCUGGUCCCCAAAGGUAAGUGGUGAAGCACAGUCCAUCCACACAAAAUAAAUAACACUAAAAUCAGAAUGGGUCAAUUCCUCCCCUUCCUCAAGGAUAUUACAAGUAAAAGACUAUCUUAAGCAUUUUUAAGAGGGACAAUGUUGUUUCUGACAGACUUCUCAACAUUCUUUAGAAGUUUCGGAAUGAUUAUCUGUUUCAACUGUUUGUUAUCUGUUUAUUUUAGGAGAAAUGAAGUAGUAAAUGUGGCGUAUUAUUAAAAAAGUAAAAAAUUCUUGAGAGGUAAAAUAAGACACAUUCUGUAAU
This is a long non-coding RNA of Lagopus leucura (white-tailed ptarmigan), 1030 nucleotides long. RefSeq lists it as uncharacterized. The transcript has 4 exons. The record is from RefSeq and is a predicted model, not a curated record. NCBI's taxonomy places the organism in Eukaryota, Metazoa, Chordata, Aves, Galliformes, Phasianidae.